AAAAUCUACAAGAAUUUAUUAAUGAAGUUGUGAUUCUUUCUCAAAUCAAUCACAGGAAUAUUGUCAGGCUUUUGGGAUGCUGCUUGGAAACAGAAGUUCCCUUGCUAGUCUAUGAAUUCAUACCCAAUGGAUCUCUUUUUCAGUAUCUCCAUGGCCAAAAUGAGGCGUCUUCAUUACCAUGGGAAAUGAGAGUACGGAUUGCGAGUGAAAUUGCUGCGGCACUUGCGUAUUUGCACUCAGCAGCUUCUAUUCCAAUUUACCAUCGUGACAUUAAAUCUACAAAUAUACUCAUAGAUGAGAAACACAAAGCAAAAGUAUCAGAUUUUGGAACUUCAAGAUCAAUUGCGAUUGAUCAAACUCAUUUGACAACUCAUGUGCAUGGCACUUUUGGUUAUUUGGAUCCAGAGUACUUCCAAUCUAGCC
Molecule: unclassified non-coding RNA, 423 nt
Filed under: Hevea brasiliensis (rubber tree)
Lineage: Eukaryota; Viridiplantae; Streptophyta; Magnoliopsida; Malpighiales; Euphorbiaceae
Source: RNAcentral